UUGCCAGCCAGUACCUUGGAUUUUAAUGGC
RNAcentral lists this non-coding RNA (30 nucleotides) under Rattus norvegicus (Norway rat). The record is from RNAcentral. Lineage: Eukaryota; Metazoa; Chordata; Mammalia; Rodentia; Muridae.